UCAAUAUCGAACAGACAAAGGAAGAGUAGGCCGCGGUGGGGCCCAAGAGAGUUGACGGCUGUUGCGAGUCAACCAAAGCCGCGGGUGAACUGGCCUUUGCGAUGCACGACUGAAAUCCAGUAGGUCGUACCGGUACUGGCCGUUAUCCAGACAAAGCGCUGCGCAAGCAGAACUUAGGUGGUACCGCGGGGAACCCCGUCCUAAUG
Molecule: non-coding RNA, 206 nt
Filed under: Lacticaseibacillus nasuensis
Lineage: Bacteria; Bacillati; Bacillota; Bacilli; Lactobacillales; Lactobacillaceae
Description: Lactobacillus nasuensis T-box sequence
Rfam family: T-box leader
About the family: Uncharged tRNA acts as the effector for transcription antitermination of genes in the T-box leader family. T-boxes are found upstream of many aminoacyl-tRNA synthetase genes and some amino acid biosynthetic genes usually in Gram-positive bacteria.
Source: RNAcentral